UACGUAGGCAGCGAGCGUUGUUCGGAAUUACUGGGCGUAAAGAGUGUGUAGGCGGUGUUCCCAGUCUGUUGUGAAAUCUCCCGGCUUAACUGGGAGGGUGCAGCGGAAACUAGAAUGCUAGAGGGUGGGAGAGGUAAGCGGAAUUCCUGGUGUAGCGGUGAAAUGCGUAGAUAUCUGGAGGAACACCGGUGGCGAAGGCGGCAUCCUGGACCAACACUGACGCUGAUGAGCGAAAGCCAGGGGAGCAAACGGG
Molecule: ribosomal RNA, 253 nt
Filed under: uncultured bacterium
Lineage: Bacteria
Description: partial 16S ribosomal RNA
Rfam family: Bacterial small subunit ribosomal RNA
Source: RNAcentral